This 240-nucleotide unclassified non-coding RNA is filed under the name soil metagenome. RNAcentral's name for it is "partial contains 5.8S ribosomal RNA, internal transcribed spacer 2, and large subunit ribosomal RNA". The record is from RNAcentral.
AACCAUUCUCACCUGCGGCUAGACCUGCGGAAGGAUCAUUAACGAGUUAGGGUCGUUCUGGCCCGAACUUCCAACCCCUUGUUUAUCACACCAUGUUGCUUUGGUAGGCCCGCUCUCUUAGGGGGGCCGCCGGAGGUUAUCCUACCUCUAGCCCGUGCCUGCCAGUAGCCUUAUUAAAUUCUUUUUAACUGUGUCUGAGUGGUAUUUUCAAAUCAUUUAAAACUUUUAGCAACGGAUCUC